This 508-nucleotide ribosomal RNA is filed under the name uncultured bacterium. Its description in RNAcentral is "bacterial SSU rRNA". It matches the Rfam family "Bacterial small subunit ribosomal RNA", at positions 1 to 507 of the family's 1533-position model. The record is from RNAcentral.
GACGUAGUUUGACUCCGUGGCUACGAGGACGAACGCUGGCGGCGUGCCUAACACAUGCAAAGUCGAACGAAGUUUUUAUGGAAUGCGACUUCGGUCAAAUGAAGUUUAAACUUAGUGGCGGACGGGUGAGUAACGCGUGAGAAACCUGCCUUUCAGUGGGGGACAACAGUUGGAAACGACUGCUAAUACCGCAUAAUGUAUCGAGAGGGCAUCCUCUUGAUACCAAAGAUUUAUUGCUGAAAGAUGGUCUCGCGUCUGAUUAGAUAGUUGGUGGGGUAACGGCCCACCAAGGCGACGAUCAGUAGCCGGUCUGAGAGGAUGAACGGCCACAUUGGGACUGAGACACGGCCCAAACUCCUACGGGAGGCAGCAGUGGGGAAUAUUGCACAAUGGAGGAAACUCUGAUGCAGCGAUGCCGCGUGAGGGAAGAAGGUUUUCGGAUUGUAAACCUCUGUCUUCGGGGACGAUAAUGACGGUACCUGAGGAGGAAGCUCCGGCUAACUACGUG